Molecule: ribosomal RNA, 429 nt
Filed under: Acidobacteriota bacterium
Lineage: Bacteria; Pseudomonadati; Acidobacteriota
Also listed under: 2 other names
Description: Acidobacteria bacterium partial 16S ribosomal RNA
Rfam family: Bacterial small subunit ribosomal RNA
Source: RNAcentral
UAGGGAAUCUUCGGCAAUGGACGAAAGUCUGACCGAGCAACGCCGCGUGAGUGAAGAAGGUUUUCGGAUCGUAAAACUCUGUUGUUAGAGAAGAACAAGGACGUUAGUAACUGAACGUCCCCUGACGGUAUCUAACCAGAAAGCCACGGCUAACUACGUGCCAGCAGCCGCGGUAAUACGUAGGUGGCAAGCGUUGUCCGGAUUUAUUGGGCGUAAAGCGAGCGCAGGCGGUUUCUUAAGUCUGAUGUGAAAGCCCCCGGCUCAACCGGGGAGGGUCAUUGGAAACUGGGAGAGUUGAGUGCAGAAGAGGAGAGUGGAAUUCCAUGUGUAGCGGUGAAAUGCGUAGAUAUAUGGAGGAACACCAGUGGCGAAGGCGGCUCUCUGGUCUGUAACUGACGCUGAGGCUCGAAAGCGUGGGGAGCAAACAGG